This 851-nucleotide long non-coding RNA is filed under the name Olea europaea subsp. europaea. Lineage: Eukaryota; Viridiplantae; Streptophyta; Magnoliopsida; Lamiales; Oleaceae. The record is from RNAcentral.
GUGCCACAAUAGAAAGUUUUGUGUACUUAUUACAACUAGGCCACAUGAGUUUGUUAGCUUCUUCCAAUAGUCCAAAGAAAUUUUUUGUACGUUGAUUUGGGACUUGUUCCUCAUGAGCACAAACAUUUGGAUUGAUGUAGUUAUUGUACGUUUCAGGUGCCAUCAUGCUUGUAAAGGCCUCUAAAUGAGUGUGGUGGGUCUCCGCGAUCCUUUCGAUGACCGAGGAGGUCAAUCAUUACCUACUAGGCAAGGCAUCUCAGAGCCUAUCCCAUCAUGAGGUCUAUCACCAUUGUUUCAUGGCUAUCUUUUCUUGCAGCUUGUGCUGUUGAGGAUUCAGCCAAAUCUAGACCAUUGAAAUUGAAUGGUUCUCUAUGUGUUUGCAAGCUGUAUAGUCCCUUGUAAAUCCAUUUUUGUAAUGAUGAAAUUUCACAUCAACUUCUUUUAGAAACCUUGUGUUCUUACAAAUAGAACAUGGACGUUUGAUCAUAUCUCCAACUCUUGUUUGAGACAUGGCAAAUUCAAUGAACUCUUUAACACAUUGAAUGAAUCUGCCUGAAAGAAAUCCUUCAUCUGAUCAAUUCAACAUCCAACUACGAUUCGAUGCUAUAAUGUGUAACAACAAUUCAUAGACUUUAAUUGCUUAUCCUUCAUAAAUUAUUGGGCGGUUCAAAUGUUAAACUUGCAAAAUGAAUCCAAUUAAUUCCCCUUUUUGAAAAUAAACGAUUGGAAUCAAUAUUAAAAUAAUCACUUAGACAAUUGAACAAAUAGCUUAGCAACAUGGAAGGAGUUCUCCAUCGCAAAUAUUUCUUGAAAGCCCAAAACAAAAAUAUCUACUACUUACUCAAGUUCAU